Molecule: ribosomal RNA, 690 nt
Filed under: uncultured Acidobacteriota bacterium
Lineage: Bacteria; Pseudomonadati; Acidobacteriota
Description: bacterial SSU rRNA
Rfam family: Bacterial small subunit ribosomal RNA
Source: RNAcentral
GAUCCUGGCUCAGAAUCAACGCUGGCGGCGUGCCUCAGACAUGCAAGUCGAACGCGAAAGUCCCCUUCGGGGGACAAGUAGAGUGGCGCACGGGUGAGUAACACGUAGGUAAUCUACCUUCGGAUGGGGAAUAACACCGAGAAAUCGGUGCUAAUACCGCAUAAUGCAGCGGCACCUAAUGGUGACAGUUGUUAAAGCGGGGGAUCGUAAGACCUCGCGUCUGAAGAGGAGCCUGCGGCGGAUUAGCUAGUUGGUAAGGUAACGGCUUACCAAGGCUACGAUCCGUAACCGGCCUGAGAGGGCGGUCGGUCACACUGACACUGACAUACGGGUCAGACUCCUACGGGAGGCAGCAGUCGGGAAUUUUGGGCAAUGGGCGAAAGCCUGACCCAGCAACGCCGCGUGAAGGAUGAAAUCCCUCGGGAUGUAAACUUCGCAAGAACGGGAAGAAUAAGUGAGGGUUAAUAUCUCUUACGAUGACGGUACCGUUUGUAAGCUCCGGCUAACUCCGUGCCAGCAGCCGCGGUAAUGCGGGGGGAGCAAGCGUUGUUCGGAUUUACUGGGCGUAAAGGGCGCGUAGGCGGCCAGCACAAGUCAGUUGUGAAAUCUCCGAGCUUAACUCGGAAAGGUCAACUGAUACUGUGCGGCUAGAGUGCAGAAGGGGCAACUGGAAUUCUCGGUGUAGCGGUG